ACAAUGGAGAGUUUGAUCCUGGCUCAGGAUGAACGCUAGCGGCAGGCCUAAUACAUGCAAGUCGAGGGGCAGCACAGGUAGCAAUACUGGGUGGCGACCGGCAAACGGGUGCGGAACACGUACGCAACCUUCCUUUAAGCGGGGAAUAGCCCAGAGAAAUUUGGAUUAAUACCCCAUAAGAAUGUGGAAAGGCAUCUUUCAGCAUUUAAAGAUUUAUCACUUAAAGAUGGGCGUGCGUCUGAUUAGGUAGUUGGUGAGGUAACGGCUCACCAAGCCGACGAUCAGUAACUGGCGU
Molecule: ribosomal RNA, 295 nt
Filed under: Chitinophaga ginsengisegetis
Lineage: Bacteria; Pseudomonadati; Bacteroidota; Chitinophagia; Chitinophagales; Chitinophagaceae
Description: partial 16S ribosomal RNA
Rfam family: Bacterial small subunit ribosomal RNA
Source: RNAcentral